GACAACCUUGUACCUUUGCUUAUUUUAUGAUGCAGGGAGAGAGUAUGGUGUGGUGUGUCAACCAGUUGGAUUUUGAUCAAAUGAGGGGUACUAUAUUGAAUGCACUUGCUGAUGUUUAUGUGGAAGAUGGAAUUAUUUUCGCACUGCAGCCAAACAUCAAGGUAUAACUAAUUUAUCCUUCAUUUUUUUGGUAGUCUGAA
This is an RNA transcript of Arabidopsis thaliana (thale cress), 200 nucleotides long. RefSeq lists it as uncharacterized. Lineage: Eukaryota; Viridiplantae; Streptophyta; Magnoliopsida; Brassicales; Brassicaceae. The transcript is spliced from 2 exons. The record is from RefSeq.